ACAUUGCUGAAGAGUCCCAUACUAGGACGAAACGGCCGUCCAGUGC
This 46-nucleotide non-coding RNA is filed under the name Schistosoma margrebowiei. Lineage: Eukaryota; Metazoa; Platyhelminthes; Trematoda; Strigeidida; Schistosomatidae. The record is from RNAcentral.